Molecule: long non-coding RNA, 142 nt
Filed under: Sus scrofa (pig)
Lineage: Eukaryota; Metazoa; Chordata; Mammalia; Artiodactyla; Suidae
Description: lncRNA (ENSSSCG00070010542.1)
Source: RNAcentral
CUGAGGACCUUGGCGUGAUCACUAAUGGGCCCGGUCGGUUUGCACAACAUUGGACAGACCUGCUGCCUUAACUCCCUGAUUCAGGUGCUGAUUAUGAAUGUGGGAUUAACCAGAUACUGAAGAGGAUGACAGUGCCAAGGGG